Molecule: long non-coding RNA, 69 nt
Organism: Aricia agestis (brown argus)
Lineage: Eukaryota; Metazoa; Arthropoda; Insecta; Lepidoptera; Lycaenidae
Exons: 3
Source: RefSeq, a predicted model, not a curated record
UGUGAUCUGUCGGCUCACGGCUGGGUUUGACGUCACGCGACCAAACUACGUAGGUAUAUAUAACUCUAU